GCAAGGCUGGAUGCUAGCCGCCCACAACUACUGGCACACAGCUCUCUUUCACAUCGAAUCCGCGGAAUAUGAGCCAGCGCUAGAGAUUUUCGAUCGAGAAAUUGUGAAACGAUCUAGCAAGGUUGAUGGUAGCUCACUGCUAUGGAGAUUGGAACUAGAAGGUGUCAAUGUUGGAAGGGAUCGGUGGGAGAAGAUAGAAAACCUCUCCAAAUUCAUCGGUGAUCACUCUUCUGUUAGUAAUGAUGUACAAAUAGGAAUUGCAACUUAUAUGCAAGAGGAUUUGGAGACAGAGAAGAAAUUGAGAGAUUCGUUGGUGAAGUAUUCAGAGUGAGUUGGAGCCUAGGCAGAGCAAAAUGUUUUUACUUCUAAAAUUAGCGCUCAUUAGCUGAGUCUACCAAUGUGCCUUCAGUGAUUGAUCCGAAGGGUGUAGAGAACCUGGGCUCCCAUUACGGUUUGAUCUACAAAAAAAUGCGGCAAAUGUGACGUCAGCACGUUUUUCACCAUGCGAAAUCGAAGUCUGCGUCUAAAUUCCCGCGACUCUCGUAGAUCAAAUCGAAACGGGACACUCUGACAUCACGUGGGGCUAAGAGAAUCAUCCAAGUUUUCUGGUUUUUGACACUAGGUGAUACAGAUCUAACAGAUAUUCAAAUAGGUGCAGCUGAUAAAAAACACAUUUUUUGCCGCACACAUCAAAAAUUUGACAAUGCAAUUUUGACCAAAACUAUUGAUUUUGUUUCCAAAAAAUGUAGUAAAAUUACACAAAAUUGAUUUAUUUUGAUGCUUAGGCAGACACACUACACGGAACUUAUUCAGAAACCAGAUGUGUGCUAAGAAUUCCUUAGAUUUGGUGCUCCAAAAAAUUUCAAAAAAUAUCAAAUUUUUCGGAGUUUGUUAAGCACUGCAAAUUUUGAGAUUUCCCGCAUACCCCUGGCCUAUAGUGUCGUACAUUUUUGAAAACUUGUCAAUUUAUUUUUCCAUAUCUGAAAAUCGUUCAGGCUUCUCACCGAGGACAACGCGCAAAUUAGCAAGACCACCGGUGUGCCGCUCUACGACGGAAUGCUCAACUUUGCUCGUCGCGACUACGACACAGCAGCCGAUACUAUGUACCCAAUCAGGGACAAAAUCGUCCAGAUCGGUGGAUCUAAUUCUCAGCGGGAUCUUUUUGUGCAGACACUGAUACAGUCUUGCAUUUUGAGCAAGGAUCCCAAAAAUUGGGGAUUGACACCUGAGCUGCUGGCGGAGAGGAAUGCCUUGCAUCAUAACUCGUUGGUGGGACUGCGACUUGCUGAUAAGUUUAGAAAUUUGCAUCCGUUGUAAGUUUCUGGAGAGUUUAAGUUAUAAUAUGUAUGUAAUUAUUUUCGAUAUCCUUUUGUUUUUUCAAUAAAUAAAGUUAUUACAUUACAACAGUUUCGGGCCCCAGGAGUUCGUGAUUUUUGCAAUAAGUUGUCAAAGUUCAGAACACGCGAUUUUUUCAUAAUCCGGGAGAUAUCGGCUGCGAUAUGAGACAUACAAGACGGAUGAGUUUUAAAUAACACAAUUUCGCAGCCGACAUUUUACGGGGAAAUUUCGACUGGCAUCACAGUUGUAUUGUGCUGCUUUUAACGACCCUGGAGACGUCGGUUGCUUUUAUAAAACCUGUGAACUUCUAGGCACUCUCUAAAAAUUAGUCACUGCUGGCUUAGUUAUACUCAACUUUUCUUAGACUUUAUAAAUAAAUUUUGGCCAGCGAGAUGUCGGCUGAUGUAUCACUGAAAAUGGGAUAUUUUUCCCAGGAACCCGGGAAAUGUCAGCCGCAAUGUAAAAACCAGUUAGGUGUCGGCUGCUAGUUAUCCAAAUAUAAUGUCGGUGGAUACAUGCUCUAUAUUAUACACUUCCCAUCAACCCGGGAACAGUCCGCUGCUGAUGCCGUUUUGACCUGUAAAGUGUCCUGGGAAGAUGUCGGGUGCUUUUUUUUUAAUAUCAGUUAAAUCAUAACACUCAUUUUGACCCGUAAAGUGUCGUCUGCUAAGCUAUUGUUUCCUGUAUAACCCUGAAAAAUGCCCUUUUUCCCGAAUUGAUUGUUUGAUUCUAAAACCGUUUUUUUCAAUUUUUUUAUCAAACCCCAACUAAUCGUCAAAACUUUCACGUAUUUUCCAGGUGUUAUCAACAUCAGUAUCACAAAUGUCCUGGACACACAAGCUUACCUAUUUCUUUCCAUUUUGCAUGUAUGUUGUUUUUGUCCCAAUGAAGACGCACGUGCUAUAUCUGUUUGUCGUCUAGUCGUCUGGCACUCUCUUCUAGACUGCAUACUCUCUAAUUGUUGACCCUUCUUUUCUUGUUUUCACUUUUCCUUUUUUUAGAUUUGGCAGUUUUAAGAGGUUUUUGAGAGGUUUUUUUUCGAGAAUUUUAUAUGGUUUUUUCGCAUUUUUGGCCGUUGAUAACGUGGUCUUUAGAUUAAAAAUCGUAAAAAUUUGGAAUUUUUUAGAAAAUCUAAAGUGCAAAUUUUACUAAUUUUUAUGUUAAAAAGCUAUGAUUGAAGUUAUACUCCAUUUUAUUUCUCAUAAGGUCACAAUUUUUUUUCUCAACAACUGUGAUUGUCUACUAACUUUGGGUACUUCAAAAUUGCUACAGUAUAUCAAAAAUCGCGAAAAACUAGAAAACUGGUGAUCACAGUUCUUUAAUGUUUAUUUUUUUACUUUUUCAUGUAAAAAUAAAGUCUAAAAUCAGAACUGAAUAAUGUAGAGCCAUUUUUGGAAAUUACCGAAAAUUUUGAAAUUUCCUACCUAGCGAAACUUGCGCGUAGGAUAUGUUGUUUUCCGUGCCGAUUUUAUUAUGAAUUUAGUUUCGAACGGAGCAACUCUAUGUCAACAGUAGAAUAUCGUGCUUUUUCAAUGCAAAAAAAAUCCGAAAAUUCUAAACUUUCCUAUCAAGUCCUCCCUCCCCCACUUGCAUCAUCUAACCCCGUCAUAUCGUUCAUUAGACCUACCGCCCAUUCCUCCUCUCUUCCUUCAGAAAAUGGCCGAAUGGUGUGCCGAUCAUUUGCGCAAUUGCGAAGGCUGGAAGUCGGCUGGUCUGGAACUAUCAACUACGAGUGAUGAGAAUGCGAAAUGGUUGGAUGCCUGCAUUCGACAGCUUGUGUCCUGGUCGGAUUGCACCAGUUUAGGCGGAUUUCAUACAUCGAUCGAGAAGCUUGUGGCUUCGGAUCCUGAAGCAAGUUAGUUUGUUUUUUGUUUAGCACUUGGAGUCUCUGAAUUUUCAGUUAUGGCCCGAACUUUCCUAGUGGGCCUCUCCGGGCUCGGCACAGAAGCCGCUGCUCGAAAUGUCGAAUUUGCCAAGAAAAUGGAUCAACUAGAAAUUGACGCUGAAAAGUAUGGAAACGCCAGAGAAAAGCGACAUGCCAAAGCAGCGAUUUUGUGGGGAAGAGGGUAAGGGCUCCUUUAGGAGAUAUUUUUUUGAAACUUUCCUGUUUUUCAGAAAGCAUCAUGAAGCUGCCAUCGAGUGGGACAAGCUUCUAGAUGAUUACCCAACAGAUUUAAUUGCAGUGAAGUUCUCACACGAUGCUCAUUUCUUCAAUGGAAAUCAGAUAGGGAAGAAGAACGCAAUUGAGAAGGUUAUCCACAAGUGGAAUGCAGAUUUACCAUGCUAUAGGUGAGAUUUAAUUGUUUCUAUUUUCGAAAUAUUUUAGUCUCUAAAAUUGGUUUCAUUUUAAAAUAGCGCCAUCUACAACAAGAAAACUGUCCUAGUAAGCGCUGCGUUCAGAUUUUCCGAAUUUCAAAAAACCAAUGCGUCUAGAGUGGGAUUUGAAUCCAUCUAAAUAAAAGAGGUUAUGGUUCAUAAGGUCUAGGAGUUCAAGCUAGGUUCAGGCCUAUUCACAACUAAAUAUGAAAAUUAAAACAAAAAUAACUAAAUAGGUUUUAUAUCUACAUGCUUCGAAACCGGCUUCUAUCCCCAACAUUUUUUUUCUUUAGCUAUCUCCAUGGCAUGUAUGCUUUUGGCCUUGAAGAAUGUGGUAUCUACGAUGAUGCUGAAACACAAGCAGAUCGGGCCCUACAACUGAACCGAUUUGAUUGCUGGGCUUCCCACGCAAAGGCUCACGUCCUCGAGAUGAACGGGCGGCACAAAGAGGGAAAAGAGUUUAUGUACAAAACGGAGGAUGAUUGGAGG
RNAcentral lists this small RNA (4143 nucleotides) under Caenorhabditis elegans. RNAcentral describes it as "Unclassified non-coding RNA Y54G11A.23". The record is from RNAcentral. Lineage: Eukaryota; Metazoa; Nematoda; Chromadorea; Rhabditida; Rhabditidae.